CGGCCACACUGGGACUGAGACACGGCCCAGACUCCUACGGGAGGCAGCAGUGGGGAAUAUUGCACAAUGGGCGCAAGCCUGAUGCAGCGACGCCGCGUGAGGGAUGACGGCCUUCGGGUUGUAAACCUCUUUCAGUAGGGAAGAAGCCGUAAGGUGACGGUACCUGCAGAAGAAGCGCCGGCUAACUACGUGCCAGCAGCCGCGGUAAUACGUAGGGCGCAAGCGUUAUCCGGAAUUAUUGGGCGUAAAGAGCUCGUAGGCGGUUUGUCGCGUCUGCCGUGAAAGUCCGGGGCUCAACUCCGGAUCUGCGGUGGGUACGGCAGACUAGAGUGAUGUAGGGGAGACUGGAAUUCCUGGUGUAGCGGUGAAAUGCGCAGAUAUCAGGAGGAACACCGAUGGCGAAGGCAGGUCUCUGGGCAUUAACUGACGCUGAGGAGCGAAAGCAUGGGGAGCGAACAGGAUUAGAUACCCUGGUAGUCCAUGCCGUAAACGUUGGGCACUAGGUGUGGGGGACAUUCCACGUUUUCCGCGCCGUAGCUAACGCAUUAAGUGCCCCGCCUGGGGAGUACGGCCGCAAGGCUAAAACUCAAAGGAAUUGACGGGGGCCCGCACAAGCGGCGGAGCAUGCGGAUUAAUUUGAUGCAACGCGAAGAACCUUACCAAGGCUUGACAUGAACCGGACCGCUGCAGAAAUGUGGUUUCCCCUUUGGGGCUGGUUUACAGGUGGUGCAUGGUUGUCGUCAGCUCGUGUCGUGAGAUGUUGGGUUAAGUCCCGCAACGAGCGCAACCCUCGUUUUAUGUUGCCAGCACGUGAUGGUGGGGACUCAUAGGAGACUGCCGGGGUCAACUCGGAGGAAGGUGGGGACGACGUCAAAUCAUCAUGCCCCUUAAUUUU
This 895-nucleotide ribosomal RNA is filed under the name Arthrobacter pascens. Its description in RNAcentral is "bacterial SSU rRNA". It matches the Rfam family "Bacterial small subunit ribosomal RNA", at positions 305 to 1209 of the family's 1533-position model. The record is from RNAcentral. Lineage: Bacteria; Bacillati; Actinomycetota; Actinomycetes; Micrococcales; Micrococcaceae.